This 247-nucleotide ribosomal RNA is filed under the name uncultured bacterium. Its description in RNAcentral is "partial 16S ribosomal RNA". It matches the Rfam family "Bacterial small subunit ribosomal RNA", at positions 523 to 769 of the family's 1533-position model. The record is from RNAcentral.
AUACGGAGGGUGCAAGCGUUGUUCGGAAUUACUGGGCGUAAAGCGCGUGUAGGCGGACCGGUAAGUUGGGAGUGAAAGCCCUGGGCUCAACCCAGGAAGUGCUUCCAAUACUGCCGGCCUUGAGUUCCGGAGAGGGUGGUGGAAUUCCCGGUGUAGAGGUGAAAUUCGUAGAUAUCGGGAGGAACACCAGUGGCGAAGGCGACCACCUGGACGAGAACUGACGCUGAGACGCGAAAGCGUGGGGAGC